This 253-nucleotide ribosomal RNA is filed under the name uncultured bacterium. RNAcentral's name for it is "partial 16S ribosomal RNA". It matches the Rfam family "Bacterial small subunit ribosomal RNA", at positions 524 to 776 of the family's 1533-position model. The record is from RNAcentral.
UACAGAGGGCGCAAGCGUUGUUCGGAUUCAUUGGGCGUAAAGGGUGCGUAGGUGGCGCUGUAAGUCGGGUGUGAAAUUUCGGAGCUUAACUCCGAAACUGCAUUCGAUACUGCGGUGCUUGAGGACUGGAGAGGAGACUGGAAUUCAUGGUGUAGCAGUGAAAUGCGUAGAGAUCAUGAGGAAGACCAGUGGCGAAGGCGGGUCUCUGGACAGUUCCUGACACUGAGGCACGAAGGCCAGGGGAGCAAACGGG